This 492-nucleotide ribosomal RNA is filed under the name uncultured bacterium. RNAcentral's name for it is "partial 16S ribosomal RNA". It matches the Rfam family "Bacterial small subunit ribosomal RNA", at positions 28 to 507 of the family's 1533-position model. The record is from RNAcentral.
GAUGAACGCUAGCUACAGGCUUAACACAUGCCAGUCGAGGGGAAACGGCAUCGAAAGCUUGCUUUUGAUGGGCGUCGACCGGCGCACGGGUGAGUAACGCGUACCCAACCUGCCCAUCACUUGGGAAUAACCUUGCGAAAGUAAGACUAAUGCCCAAUGACAUCCCACGAAGGCAUCCGAAUGGGAUUAAAGAUUUAUCGGUGAUGGAUGGGGAUGCGUCUGAUUAGCUUGUUGGCGGGGUGACGGCCCACCAAGGCAACGAUCAGUAGGGGUUCUGAGAGGAAGGUCCCCCACAUUGGAACUGAGACACGGUCCAAACUCCUACGGGAGGCAGCAGUGAGGAAUAUUGGUCAAUGGGCGAGAGCCUGAACCAGCCAAGUAGCGUGCAGGAUGACGGCCCUAUGGGUUGUAAACUGCUUUUAUAAGGGAAUAAAGUGGGUCACGUGUGACUUUUUGCAUGUACCUUAUGAAUAAGGACCGGCUAAUUCCGUG